Molecule: long non-coding RNA, 707 nt
Organism: Balaenoptera ricei (Rice's whale)
Lineage: Eukaryota; Metazoa; Chordata; Mammalia; Artiodactyla; Balaenopteridae
Exons: 3
Source: RefSeq, a predicted model, not a curated record
GAAAGCCUCCCUUUUAUCAGACUGUGUCUUGAUUAAAAGGACAGCUGAUGUCUACUACAUAGAGAAUGGUUUUCUCUUGACAAAUUGGUCUUAUUGUCAAUAAAUAUUUCAUUGUUAAAUAUUUGUUUUUUGUCUGUUUUCAGCAGCACAGAUUGAAAGAUGGCUCCUGGAAGGCUCGGCACAGUCAUCUCAUAAAUUACAACUAGAAACACACAAAUACUGUCCUGUGUUGAAAUGGGCAGAUUCUAAGAGGAAUUGUUUCUCCACUGUGCUGAUAGCUCAUGAUGAUGAAUACUUCUAGGAUGGCGAAACGUUCCCUGCAUUGAUUAAGUACAGGUGGUGCUGAUUGUCUUUCCUACUUGUCGUUUACUUUCAACUCACAUUCACGUCAAGUUCCAAAGUGUUGUCUUCUUGGUGAAGGAUAAUGAAGAUGUGACUUACAGUCAUAUUUCGACUCUGCCAUGAACAAAAUCACCUGCAGUCACAUUUACUACUGGCAGCCAUUCUAUGCCCAUGAGGAAAGCAAGCCUUCAGAAGAAGCCAACACUGUUGAUAGAAGAAUGGUAAGAUAGAAAGAUACUAUGUGCUGAUACCAUCACUGAUUACCCUUGAAGAAACUUUAAUCUCUGGACCUUCUAUUCACAUGAGCCAGCAAAUUCCCUUAUGAGUUAACUAUUGUGCGUUGCCUUUCCUGUUACUUGUAACUG